AUCGCUUCUUGGCCUUUUGGCUAAGAUCAAGUAUAGUAUCAAAGUUCUUGGGUAUCCUUGCCUAACUGGAAUAUAAACAAAAAACAGGGAAAUGAAAAAUUAUUCAGUUUUCUUUUUUGGCCAUUUUCUUUACUGGACAUUUAGAACUCUUC
Molecule: small nuclear RNA, 152 nt
Organism: Lynx canadensis (Canada lynx)
Lineage: Eukaryota; Metazoa; Chordata; Mammalia; Carnivora; Felidae
Gene: U2
Rfam family: U2 spliceosomal RNA
About the family: U2 is a small nuclear RNA (snRNA) component of the spliceosome (involved in pre-mRNA splicing). Complementary binding between U2 snRNA (in an area lying towards the 5' end but 3' to hairpin I) and the branchpoint sequence (BPS) of the intron results the bulging out of an unpaired adenosine, on the BPS, which initiates a nucleophilic attack at the intronic 5' splice site, thus starting the first of two transesterification reactions that mediate splicing.
Source: Ensembl